This is a long non-coding RNA of Ornithorhynchus anatinus (platypus), 253 nucleotides long. RefSeq lists it as uncharacterized. The record is from RefSeq and is a predicted model, not a curated record. Lineage: Eukaryota; Metazoa; Chordata; Mammalia; Monotremata; Ornithorhynchidae. The transcript is spliced from 2 exons.
CGGAAGCGGAAGUGCGGGCGCCGGGGCUCGCGCCCCCUCAGAGCGGCCCGGGCCGCGGGCGGAGAUGGCGGCCGGGGCGGGGAACGCACCGAGACCCGCGCCACCUCAUCCCCUCCGCAAGCGCGGAACUUUAGCAAGGUGGCUCUUGUCGGAUGUAAUAGGCUGCAAAUGAAAACGGACUCUUCCGCGAUGCAAUGAAGGCGGUAAAAAAGGAUCAUGUCACAGACUUGGAAGUUAAGCGUCUGCCUUUAUG